Molecule: unclassified non-coding RNA, 264 nt
Filed under: fungal sp.
Lineage: Eukaryota; Fungi
Description: partial internal transcribed spacer region
Rfam family: Eukaryotic small subunit ribosomal RNA (bases 1-46)
Source: RNAcentral
AAGUCGUAACAAGGUCUCCGUAGGUGAACCUGCGGAGGGAUCAUUCACAUGAUAUACUUGAAACAAACUGUGAACUUUAUAAAUACUAUUCGUGUUUUUUAUCAGUUUUACUGUAUAAUAAACAUCGUCAUUCGAUUGAACAUAAGAUAGUUGGCUUGAAAUGUAACAAUUUCUUUCUCAGCUUUGAUUUGAUAGAACUCAACAUUUUAUCACUUCAACCAUAAAACAUAGAAACAACUCUAUGCCCUGGAUAUCUUGGUUCUC